UAGGGAAUCUUCCGCAAUGGGCGAAAGCCUGACGGAGCAACGCCGCGUGAGUGAUGAAGGUCUUCGGAUCGUAAAACUCUGUUAUUAGGGAAGAACAAAUGUGUAAGUAACUAUGCACGUCUUGACGGUACCUAAUCAGAAAGCCACGGCUAACUACGUGCCAGCAGCCGCGGUAAUACGUAGGUGGCAAGCGUUAUCCGGAAUUAUUGGGCGUAAAGCGCGCGUAGGCGGUUUUUUAAGUCUGAUGUGAAAGCCCACGGCUCAACCGUGGAGGGUCAUUGGCAACUGGAAACCUUGAGUGCAGAAGAGGACAGUGGAAUUCCAUGUGUAGAGGUGAAAUGCGCAGAGAUAUGGAGGAACACCAGUGGCGAAGUCGACUUUCUGGUCUGUAACUGACGCUAAUGUGCGAAAGCGUGGGGAUCAAACAGU
Molecule: ribosomal RNA, 429 nt
Filed under: Actinomycetes bacterium
Lineage: Bacteria; Bacillati; Actinomycetota; Actinomycetes
Description: Actinobacteria bacterium partial 16S ribosomal RNA
Rfam family: Bacterial small subunit ribosomal RNA
Source: RNAcentral